RNAcentral lists this ribosomal RNA (433 nucleotides) under uncultured bacterium. RNAcentral's name for it is "partial 16S ribosomal RNA". It matches the Rfam family "Bacterial small subunit ribosomal RNA", at positions 29 to 507 of the family's 1533-position model. The record is from RNAcentral.
CGCGAACGCUGGCGGCAGGCCUAACACAUGCAAGUCGAACGAACUCUUCGGAGUUAGUUGCGGACGGGUGAGUAACACGUGGGAACGUGCCUUUAGGUUCGGAAUAACUCAGGGAAACUUGUGCUAAUACCGAAUGUGCCCUUCGGGGGAAAGAUUUAUCGCCUUUCGAGCGGCCCGCGUCUGAUUAGCUAGUUGGUGAGGUAAAGGCUCACCAAGGCGACGAUCAGUAGCUGGUCUGAGAGGAUGAUCAGCCACAUUGGGACUGAGACACGGCCCAAACUCCUACGGGAGGCAGCAGUGGGGAAUCUUGCGCAAUGGGCGAAAGCCUGACGCAGCCAUGCCGCGUGAAUGAUGAAGGUCUUAGGAUUGUAAAAUUCUUUAACCGGGGACGAUAAUGACGGUACCCGGAGAAGAAGCCCCGGCUAACUUCGUG